This is a non-coding RNA of Megalops atlanticus (tarpon), 71 nucleotides long. NCBI's taxonomy places the organism in Eukaryota, Metazoa, Chordata, Actinopteri, Elopiformes, Megalopidae. The record is from the annotation of a GenBank genome assembly.
AGUAGUGUAGCAUAGUGGUUAAGGUGCGAGACUUAUAACCAAAAGGUUGCCGGUUCGAUUCCCCACUGGGG